UUUAUAUGCUAGGGGUGCUCGAGGCGAGCUGAGAAAGAAUUUAUCUUAACUCUUUGAACCUGAGGUGGUUAGAACCAACGAAGGAAAGCGUAUGAUGACAAUG
Staphylococcus sp. HGB0015 is the source of this 103-nucleotide regulatory RNA element. It matches the Rfam family "TPP riboswitch aptamer (THI element)". Rfam says of the family: Vitamin B(1) in its active form thiamin pyrophosphate (TPP) is an essential coenzyme that is synthesised by coupling of pyrimidine and thiazole moieties in bacteria. The record is from Rfam. NCBI's taxonomy places the organism in Bacteria, Bacillati, Bacillota, Bacilli, Caryophanales, Staphylococcaceae.